UGGUUGUGAUGAGGACAAUCUCUAAGUAGUCCCUUGAACCUUUCCCAAGCUGAAUAUAAGGACUUGCCCUAUUUUUGUUUAAAAGAGACUAUCUCACUUCUGAUCUU
This 107-nucleotide small nucleolar RNA is filed under the name Nicotiana tabacum (common tobacco). RNAcentral describes it as "Plant small nucleolar RNA R71". It matches the Rfam family "Plant small nucleolar RNA R71". From Rfam's summary of the family: R71 is a member of the C/D box family of snoRNAs containing the C (UGAUGA) and D (CUGA) box motifs. The record is from Rfam by way of RNAcentral. Lineage: Eukaryota; Viridiplantae; Streptophyta; Magnoliopsida; Solanales; Solanaceae.